This 642-nucleotide ribosomal RNA is filed under the name Microcystis aeruginosa V-08. RNAcentral describes it as "bacterial SSU rRNA". It matches the Rfam family "Bacterial small subunit ribosomal RNA", at positions 69 to 754 of the family's 1533-position model. Lineage: Bacteria; Bacillati; Cyanobacteriota; Cyanophyceae; Chroococcales; Microcystaceae. The record is from RNAcentral.
GGAAUCUUCGGAUUCUAGUGGCGGACGGGUGAGUAACGCGUAAGAAUCUAACUUCAGGACGGGGACAACAGUUGGAAACGACUGCUAAUACCCGAUGUGCCGCAAGGUGAAACCUAAUUGGCCUGGAGAAGAGCUUGCGUCUGAUUAGCUAGUUGGUGGGGUAAGGGCCUACCAAGGCGACGAUCAGUAGCUGGUCUGAGAGGAUGAGCAGCCACACUGGGACUGAGACACGGCCCAAACUCCUACGGGAGGCAGCAGUGGGGAAUUUUCCGCAAUGGGCGAAAGCCUGACGGAGCAACGCCGCGUGAGGGAGGAAGGUCUUUGGAUUGUAAACCUCUUUUCUCAAGGAAGAAGUUCUGACGGUACUUGAGGAAUCAGCCUCGGCUAACUCCGUGCCAGCAGCCGCGGUAAUACGGGGGAGGCAAGCGUUAUCCGGAAUUAUUGGGCGUAAAGCGUCCGCAGGUGGUCAGCCAAGUCUGCCGUCAAAUCAGGUUGCUUAACGACCUAAAGGCGGUGGAAACUGGCAGACUAGAGAGCAGUAGGGGUAGCAGGAAUUCCCAGUGUAGCGGUGAAAUGCGUAGAGAUUGGGAAGAACAUCGGUGGCGAAAGCGUGCUACUGGGCUGUAUCUGACACUCAGGGAC